GAAGCAGUAGUUUAAUGGAAAAACAAACCCUGCUAAGGUAGAUUGCGGGUUCGAGUCCUGCCUGUUUCC
This 69-nucleotide transfer RNA is filed under the name Chryseobacterium sp. RNAcentral describes it as "tRNA-Ser". It matches the Rfam family "tRNA". Rfam says of the family: Transfer RNA (tRNA) molecules are approximately 80 nucleotides in length. Their secondary structure includes four short double-helical elements and three loops (D, anti-codon, and T loops). The record is from RNAcentral. Lineage: Bacteria; Pseudomonadati; Bacteroidota; Flavobacteriia; Flavobacteriales; Weeksellaceae.